AAUACCACCCUUUAAUGUUUGAUGUUCUAACGUGGACCCGUGAUCCGGGUUGCGGACAGUGUCUGGUGGGUAGUUUGACUGGGGCGGUCUCCUCCUAAAGAGUAACGGAGGAGCACGAAGGUUGGCUAAUCCUGGUCGGACAUCAGGAGGUUAGUGCAAUGGCAUAAGCCAGCUUGACUGCGAGCGUGACGGCGCGAGCAGGUGCGAAAGCAGGUCAUAGUGAUCCGGUGGUUCUGAAUGGAAGGGCCAUCGCUCAACGGAUAAAAGGUACUCCGGGGAUAACAGGCUGAUACCGCCCAAGAGUUCAUAUCGACGGCGGUGUUUGGCACCUCGAUGUCGGCUCAUCACAUCCUGGGGCUGAAGUAGGUCCCAAGGGUAUGGCUGUUCGCCAUUUAAAGUGGUACGCGAGCUGGGUUUAGAACGUCGUGAGACAGUUCGGUCCCUAUCUGCCGUGGGCGCUGGAGAACUGAGGGGGGCUGCUCCUAGUACGAGAGGACCGGAGUGGACGCAUCACUGGUGUUCGGGUUGUCAUGCCAAUGGCACUGCCCGGUAGCUAAAUGCGGAAGAGAUAAGUGCUGAAAGCAUCUAAGCACGAAACUUGCCCCGAGAUGAGUUCUCCCUGACCCUUUAAGGGUCCUGAAGGAACGUUGAAGACGACGACGUUGAUAGGCCGGGUGUGUAAGCGCAGCGAUGCGUUGAGCUAACCGGUACUAAUGAACCGUGAGGCUUAACCUUACAACGCCGAAGGUGUUU
Molecule: ribosomal RNA, 753 nt
Filed under: Escherichia coli
Lineage: Bacteria; Pseudomonadati; Pseudomonadota; Gammaproteobacteria; Enterobacterales; Enterobacteriaceae
Description: bacterial LSU rRNA
Rfam family: Bacterial large subunit ribosomal RNA
Source: RNAcentral